This 429-nucleotide ribosomal RNA is filed under the name Gemmatimonadota bacterium. RNAcentral describes it as "Gemmatimonadetes bacterium partial 16S ribosomal RNA". It matches the Rfam family "Bacterial small subunit ribosomal RNA", at positions 355 to 776 of the family's 1533-position model. Lineage: Bacteria; Pseudomonadati; Gemmatimonadota. The record is from RNAcentral.
UAGGGAAUCCUCGGCAAUGGACGAAAGUCUGACCGAGCAACGCCGCGUGAGUGAAGAAGGUUUUCGGAUCGUAAAACUCUGUUGUUAGAGAAGAACAAGGACGUUAGUAACUGAACGUCCCCUGACGGUAUCUAACCAGAAAGCCACGGCUAACUACGUGCCAGCAGCCGCGGUAAUACGUAGGUGGCAAGCGUUGUCCGGAUUUAUUGGGCGUAAAGCGAGCGCAGGCGGUUUCUUAAGUCUGAUGUGAAAGCCCCCGGCUCAACCGGGGAGGGUCAUUGGAAACUGGGAGACUUGAGUGCAGAAGAGGAGAGUGGAAUUCCAUGUGUAGCGGUGAAAUGCGUAGAUAUAUGGAGGAACACCAGUGGCGAAGGCGGCUCUCUGGUCUGUAACUGACGCUGAGGCUCGAAAGCGUGGGGAGCAAACAGG